AUGGAACAGACGCUGCACAACCUCACCGCCUCUUACAGGCAGGUGGUUUUUGUACGAGCACGAAUAGGCUCUGAAUCACUGUGGUACACUUUUGGCGGAGGAACCAGGCUGGAAGUUGGAAGCAACGCUGCCCCCGUCCUCACGGUCCUGCCCCCGUCCAGUCAAGAGGUGUCCGGUAAGAACAAGGCCACGCUGACGUGUCUGGCCAACAAGGGCUUCCCCUCCGACUGGAAGCUGGAGUGGACGGUGGACGGCAGGACCAAGCCUGGGGACGCGAGCCGCGGACUCCUGGACAAGGACGGCAAGUACAGCUGGAGCAGCACGCUGACCCUCCCUGCGGACGAGUGGACGAAGGCGGGCACGGUGGUCUGCAAGGCCACUCAGGGCUCCCAGACUCCAGUUCUGGAGACGAUGAAGAGAGCCGACUGCCCCGUGUAGAUGGGCGUCUCAUUACUGUGUUUUUACUCUGUGCUCUACUCCACUCUUACUGUUUUCGUAACUAGUAACAUAGAGGUUAAUAAUGUGCUUUGCUCCACUAUAUAUGUGAGACCCUUUACCUUGAGCUUCUCAGUAUUAUCCAGUGUGUCCUCUGCUCCUGUUCUGUAUUAGAUUAUUGGUGUGUUACACUGUGUGAUCUUGUGCUUGAGUGACGUCUGAAAUGCAGCUGAGAAUAAUAAACGUUUAUUGAAUCAAA
Scleropages formosus (Asian bonytongue) is the source of this 694-nucleotide non-coding RNA. Lineage: Eukaryota; Metazoa; Chordata; Actinopteri; Osteoglossiformes; Osteoglossidae. The record is from the annotation of a RefSeq genome assembly.